UGUGCCCGGGUAAGUCCUAUGCGACCAGCUCCUGUCGAAUCCCCCCAGGGUCGGAAGGCAGCAAGGGUAGAUGGUCGUAGCGGUGCGACAUAGUUCGCUUACCCACCU
Non-coding RNA from Odoribacter sp. CAG:788, 108 nucleotides. It matches the Rfam family "Bacteroidales small SRP". From Rfam's summary of the family: The non-coding component of the signal recognition particle in Bacteroides Lineage: Bacteria; Pseudomonadati; Bacteroidota; Bacteroidia; Bacteroidales; Odoribacteraceae. The record is from Rfam.